GUCUGGCUGGACACCGGGAUCAGCUGCCAAGGGGGAGACUCCUGCCUUCUUCAGCAGACACCUGUCUUUCAAACCAAGACAACCUCCCAGGGAGAAGGAUGUCCUCUCACAGAUACACCCAUUGCUGAGACAGCAACAGAAAGUACUGCAGGUGAUAACUGGGAUCCGUAGGUCUAAGCAAGUUUUAGUGAGUAUUUAUUUGUAUAUCUAGCCAGCUUCAGGGUUGGGACCCUGGUGCCAAAGGUUAUGUUGACCCAGAAAGGAACUGGAAUAGAUCCAAACUCCUCUGCAUUCCGCUCUCUGAUGUAUCCAAAUUAAUAGAGCAGCUGCAGCGAUGUUGAGUCUUGAAGACAGGAUAUUUCAUUCCUGGAUUAAUGUCUAUGCUUAAUACUAUGAUGUUUCAUGAUGCUUCUCCUGCUCUUUAUUGAGCAGUGUUGUGAUCCUUGCACAAGUCCUUGGGUCAUCGUCUGUAGGCAAGGGCAUGUCAGGGAUCUUGAGUGAGAUCUCGCAGAGGAGGGUACUUGCUGUUUCAGACCUUCCUAAUCCUUAAUUUAAAAAAUUUCUUUAUUUUUAAUAGUCAUAAAUAUUCCCUGGAAAGAAAAGGAAUCCAUGAGCUCAUGGCCCUUCUAUACUCAACAACCUUAUUUGAGAGAGCACUUUUCCCCUUACAGGAGGAGCAGCAAGGUAUGUGUUUAUGAGCAAGGAUGUCUGUCCAUGGCAGCAGAAAAUGUGAGCUCAUCACAUCCUUUCUUUCUUAAACAAGAACCUAAAAAUACUGCCAAAAUCCCUCACUGGAAAACAUAGAAUACAGCUCCUUGGCCACAUAUAAGCUGACUGGAUCUAUGCCUCUGUCCAAAACACUUUCAGAUUUAUAUGCCAUGUGGACUAAAUGAAAAUACUUGGAGGGAAAAAGGAGGCUUUCAAGGAUUAUUAAUUCUUCACGUUAUUCUGGAAAAAUAAACCUAUGGGUAAAUAGAAUAGAAAUGUGUUUACUCUGAUGAAACAUUUAACCUGACAGGGAGAGGUAGUUGCAGAGCGAUACUCGUAUUCGCUGUCUAAUCUCCAGGAGAUCUUGGCUACAGAUCAGACCCUUUAGUCAGCCCAUAGCCCUAACAAAGGUAAAAAAGGUCAGAGAAUACUCUGCAACCCUUAUUAACCUUUAGCCUGAGCUAUGGUGAUUUUUUCAACUUGAAUCCGUUACUUGAAAACUCCAUUUCUCACUUAUGUAAGCCAAAGCUUGUACACACCAGGUAACCAGCACCAUCAUCAGCUGGGUCUUUGGUGUGUCCAGAGCUGAUGUGUGGGGACUGGAGCUCUGCACAUCUUAAGGGCAUUGAGAGCAGAGCAACAUCCUCUUCUAAUGAGAGGCAGUAAGUGCCCAACAUGUGUGGGAGACAGAGGAGUAGAAACUCCUGCAAUUAAAGGAGGCUUUGAUUUACAACCCUGGAAGAGACUAGGUCUGGCCUAAUUGGCAGAGAUUUAUAGAUCUGAAGCAAAAGGAUUACAAGCUUGUGUCCCUAUAAUUAUAAGCAAAAUUGUACACUGGGUGUUCUGGUGGAGGGUUUUAAAAUAUAAUAGUGUGAUUUUAUACUGUUUAAGUUAAGAAUGUAGAUGGUAUAAGAGAGAGAACUGUGUGUACGUGACAUGAGAAGUUACUGGUCAAGACAUAGCUGCAUUGCAGUGAGAAGUGCCACAGUGAGAAGAGAUAGGUCAUAAAUCUAAAACAAAGUGUCGUUUUAAGUGCCUACUGGAUUAGAAAGUUAUAAAUUACAUUGUCACCCUAAAUCUUGUGACUAUUCGCCAUUAUUCGGAGGUAUUGUAAAAUCUCAAGCCUUGACUGAUGUGUUUGUUGUUUUAAACAAUAAAUUUGUGUAAUUGCA
Molecule: long non-coding RNA, 1880 nt
Organism: Corvus hawaiiensis (hawaiian crow)
Lineage: Eukaryota; Metazoa; Chordata; Aves; Passeriformes; Corvidae
Exons: 2
Source: RefSeq, a predicted model, not a curated record